AUGUCAUCGGCGGCGAACUGCGAGCGCCCGCCGGCCAACGCUUCCUCCGCUGCCGGUAGACUCAAGGACGAGUCCCCGUGGGCUUCUCUCCCUGCAGAUUUGGCCCGGCUUGUGGGCUGGCGGGUGUUGGCCGGAGACCUCCUCGACUACGUCCGGUUCCGCGCCGUCUGCUCUGACUGGCGUUCCGCCACGGUCUCCCCGCACGGCCAUGGCAUCACUGAUCCGCGGUUUCAUCCCCGCCGGUGGAUGCUGCUGCCCGAGGGCCACGGCCUCCACCCUGCGGGAAAGAAACGCUUCUUCAACCUCUCUACCGGAGUCUUCGUGCGCCACCGACUUCCUCUGCUCAUGGACCACCUUGUUCUCUGCCCCGUGGAAGGGCUUCUCCUAUUGCAGCAGGGGCAACACGGCCAUGGGAAUACUCUCCUUCUCCUCCACCCUUUCACCGGCGAUGCUGCGGAGCUGCCGGUAGCUGAUCUUAUCCAAGGAAGUGUUGUCCCACUGACUAGCAUCCAAGGCAAUGCUCUUUUGGUUAGGUUUGGAUGGAGCUUGAGUGUUAGCUUCAAGGCAAUGCCUACUGUUGUUGGCGACACAAUUGUGGGCAUGUACCACGAUGGUAAACAUAUUACGUACUACGACCUCCAUAGUGGCACUUGGUCAGCAACACCGGCAAGGCUUGUAAUGCAUGAUGGUGGCAUGAAGUGUACUUGUAGCCUUAUUGACCAUAUGUAUAAUGUCUGCCAUUGUGAUACUACCUGGUAUGAACACAUGAGAUAUAAUCUUCUUUUCAUAGGCCCGGUCUAUGGAGAUUGA
RNAcentral lists this ribosomal RNA (810 nucleotides) under Triticum aestivum (bread wheat). RNAcentral's name for it is "partial small subunit ribosomal RNA". The record is from RNAcentral. Lineage: Eukaryota; Viridiplantae; Streptophyta; Magnoliopsida; Poales; Poaceae.